RNAcentral lists this ribosomal RNA (425 nucleotides) under uncultured bacterium. RNAcentral's name for it is "bacterial SSU rRNA". It matches the Rfam family "Bacterial small subunit ribosomal RNA", at positions 469 to 896 of the family's 1533-position model. The record is from RNAcentral.
UUGUAUGUACUUUACGAAUAAGGAUCGGCUAACUCCGUGCCAGCAGCCGCGGUAAUACGGAGGAUCCGAGCGUUAUCCGGAUUUAUUGGGUUUAAAGGGUGCGUAGGCGGACCUGUAAGUCAGUGGUGAAAGUUUGCAGCUCAACUGUAAAAUUGCCAUUGAAACUAUUGGUCUUGAGUGUAAAUGAGGUAGGCGGAAUGUGUUGUGUAGCGGUGAAAUGCUUAGAUAUAAUACAGAACACCAAUUGCGAAGGCAGCUUACUAGGAUACAACUGACGCUGAGGCACGAAAGCGUGGGGAUCAAACAGGAUUAGAUACCCUGGUAGUCCACGCAGUAAACGAUGAAUACUAGCUGUAUGCGAUAUACUGUAUGUGGCAAAGCGAAAGCGUUAAGUAUUCCACCUGGGGAGUACGUUCGCAAGAAUG